AUGAAUCUCGGGAGGGUGAAGAGUGAACGAACAAAGACGGAAUCUCGAAGAACAUAGCAUAAGAGAGCCCGGAAGAUGGAUCUAAGUGAGGCUCGAUCGCUGAAAAAUCCUCGAGAAACUUAAACUUGAGGAACGAGUGAUCUCCGAAGGACCAACCCUUCAAGGAUCGAUAAUUGAAGAAUGAAACUUCGGAAUAUUUAAUUAAAAAAUAUUGAUUAGAAGAUAUUAAGUUUCGAGAGAACGAACUUUGAAAAAUUGUCGUUGGGAAGAUUCAGCCUCAAAAUUCGAACUUCGAAAUAUAAAGAAGAAUAUCCAGGGUCCAAGCUAUGUUGAGUUGCGAGUCCCAAACAUCCUCUCACCCCAUUUUCUCCAAAUAAGAUUGCGUUCACAUGAUAAAUCGUCCUCACGACGUGAGAUAAAUCGUCCUCUGAAAUAAAAGAACGAAUUCACUUGAUUUGUUCGUCUUCUGUAAAGUGGAUGCUUUCCUCUGUCAUUAGUUACAGUGCCUCGCAUAGCGCGCACCAAGGUAUUCAUCAGAUGGUCCAGAAUGCUGCCAAGAAUAAUAGUUCUCUUGACGCGAAUUAUCGUGAAUGCUGACAGAAAAUUGUAUUUAUGAGACAUUAGGAUUAAUAUGCGCGGACUUCAAUCUUGAUAAAUGCUCAUAAGUGCAAUAUUUUUUUUAAACAAUUGAUGAAAUUGAUCUCUUAAUAUGUUAAUAAUUCUUUUGAGCGGUUGGAAUUUACUUUGAAGUUCAAUGAGAGAAAGAGAGAAAGAGGGAUAUUUAUUGGUGCAGCUAGUGAGCAAAACGGCCUUAUUCGCUAAUUGUAGCUAGCAGUUCGCUAUAAUUGGCAGGUGCUCGGGGCGACUGGCUAGCUCGCGCCAUCGUAAAGAUCCCCACUACCUUUUUACCUCACUAGCAAGCCGGUGCUCGUGCCGAUUCGCAUUGCCGAGUUUCAACCCCGAAAGGGCGCAUCCUUUGUCGUUGAAGUAUCAUCGGUUGCUCGAUGUCAUCACAUUCUGUCGCAAGAGCAGCUUCGAUAUGAGUGUGGAAAAGCGUCCAGACGUGUGUGUACCAGCCAAAAUUCUGAAGCUCAAGUGGAAUGUCUCGAGGGACAGGGCAGAUAUGGACAUCAUCUCGCUGCUGAAGUGUCAACAAACCAUUUCCAGAGGAAGAAUUUAAAUGAAUAUAUGGACAAAAUAAGGCUAAACCCAUCGCUUCAUACCGAGACCGGCUGUAUCAUCGAAAAGCAGUGAUUUAUGGAUUCGCUUCAGCCUGUUAUCGGGACGAGAGAUGCAACGGGGUGUUACGCGAGCGGUUUGACGUUGCGCCAAGAUUUGAUCUCAAUGGGUGCAGCGAUGUAACUGAUACACUAUGAACUUGAACUUCCUCCGAGGAUCCAGCAUCGAACAAUUGAACAACAUCC
Molecule: long non-coding RNA, 1424 nt
Organism: Harpegnathos saltator (Jerdon's jumping ant)
Lineage: Eukaryota; Metazoa; Arthropoda; Insecta; Hymenoptera; Formicidae
Exons: 3
Source: RefSeq, a predicted model, not a curated record